This 252-nucleotide ribosomal RNA is filed under the name uncultured Lactobacillus sp. Its description in RNAcentral is "partial 16S ribosomal RNA". It matches the Rfam family "Bacterial small subunit ribosomal RNA", at positions 111 to 354 of the family's 1533-position model. The record is from RNAcentral. Lineage: Bacteria; Bacillati; Bacillota; Bacilli; Lactobacillales; Lactobacillaceae.
UAACACGUGGGGAACCUGCCCCAUAGUCUGGGAUACCACUUGGAAACAGGUGCUAAUACCGGAUAAGAAAGCGGAUCGCAUGAUCAGCUUUUAAAAGGCGGCGUAAGCUGUCGCUAUGGGAUGGCCCCGCGGUGCAUUAGCUAGUUGGUAAGGUAAAGGCUUACCAAGGCGAUGAUGCAUAGCCGAGUUGAGAGACUGAUCGGCCACAUUGGGACUGAGACACGGCCCAAACUCCUACGGGAGGCAGCAGAU